RNAcentral lists this ribosomal RNA (497 nucleotides) under uncultured bacterium. RNAcentral describes it as "partial 16S ribosomal RNA". It matches the Rfam family "Bacterial small subunit ribosomal RNA", at positions 28 to 507 of the family's 1533-position model. The record is from RNAcentral.
GACGAACGCUGGCGGCGUGCCUAAUACACGCAAGUUGAGCGCUGAAGGUUGGUACUUGUACCAACUGGAUGAGCAGCGAACGGGUGAGUAACGCGUGGGGAAUCUGCCUUUGAGCGGGGGACAACAUUUGGAAACGAAUGCUAAUACCGCAUAAAAACUUUAAACACAAGUUUUAAGUUUGAAAGAUGCAAUUGCAUCACUCAAAGAUGAUCCCGCGUUGUAUUAGCUAGUUGGUGAGGUAAAGGCUCACCAAGGCGAUGAUACAUAGCCGACCUGAGAGGGUGAUCGGCCACAUUGGGACUGAGACACGGCCCAAACUCCUACGGGAGGCAGCAGUAGGGAAUCUUCGGCAAUGGACGAAAGUCUGACCGAGCAACGCCGCGUGAGUGAAGAAGGGUUUCGGAUCGUAAAACUCUGUUGGUAGAGAAGAACGUUGGUGAGAGUGGAAAGCUCAUCAAGUGACGGUAACUACCCAGAAAGGGACGGCUAACUACGUG